This 408-nucleotide ribosomal RNA is filed under the name uncultured bacterium. RNAcentral describes it as "partial 16S ribosomal RNA". It matches the Rfam family "Bacterial small subunit ribosomal RNA", at positions 28 to 526 of the family's 1533-position model. The record is from RNAcentral.
GACGAACGCUGGCGGCGUGCUUAACACAUGCAAGUCGAACGAAGUGGCGAACGGGUGAGUAACGCGUAAUCAACCUGCCCUUCAGAGGGGGACAACAGUUGGAAACGACUGCUAAUACCGCAUACUGAAGGAGGGGAUUGCGGCUGAUUAGCUGGUUGGAGGGGUAACGGCCCACCAAGGCGAAGAUCAGUAGCCGGUCUGAGAUGGUGACCGCGCCAAUUGGGACUGAGACACGGCCCAGACUCCGACGGGAGUCAGCAGUGGGUAAUCUUCCGCAAUGGACGAAAGUCGUACGGAGCAACGCCGCGUGAGUGAUGACGGCCUUCGGGUUGUAAAGCUCUGUUAAUCGGGACGCGGUACCGGAAUAGAAAGCCACGGCUAACUACGUGCCAGCAGCCGCGGUAAUUC